GAUGAACGCUGGCUGCUUGCCUAAUACAUGCAAGUCGAGCGAACGGACGAGAAGCUUGCUUCUCUGAUGUUAGCGGCGGACGGGUGAGUAACACGUGGAUAACCUACCUAUAAGACUGGGAUAACUUCGGGAAACCGGAGCUAAUACCGGAUAAUAUUUUGAACCGCAUGGUUCAAAAGUGAAAGACGGUCUUGCUGGCACUUAUAGAUGGAUCCGCGCUGCAUUAGCUAGUUGGUAAGGUAACGGCUUACCCCGGCAACGAUGCAUAGCCGACCUGAGAGGCUGAUCGGCCACACUGGACCUGAGACACGGUCCAGACUCCUACGGGAGGCAGCAGUAGGGAAUCUUCCGCAAUGGGCGAAAUCCUGACGGAGCAACGCCGCGUGAGUGAUGAAGGUCUUCGGAUCGUAAAACUAGGUUAUGAGCGAAGAACAUCUGUGUAAUUAACUGUGCACAUCUUGACGGUACCCAAUCAGAAAGCCCCGGCUAACUACGUG
RNAcentral lists this ribosomal RNA (497 nucleotides) under uncultured bacterium. RNAcentral's name for it is "partial 16S ribosomal RNA". It matches the Rfam family "Bacterial small subunit ribosomal RNA", at positions 28 to 507 of the family's 1533-position model. The record is from RNAcentral.